Molecule: ribosomal RNA, 581 nt
Filed under: Catenibacterium mitsuokai
Lineage: Bacteria; Bacillati; Bacillota; Erysipelotrichia; Erysipelotrichales; Coprobacillaceae
Description: partial 23S ribosomal RNA
Rfam family: Bacterial large subunit ribosomal RNA
Source: RNAcentral
GCUAUGGACAGGAAUGUGGUAGGGGAGCAUUGCAUGCAGCGGAGAAGCAUGACCGAAAGGGCAUGUGGAGCGCAUGGAAGAGAGAAUGCCGGCGUGAGUAGCGGCACGUGGGUGAGAAUCCCACGCACCGAUGGCCCAAGGUCUCCAGAGGAAGGCUCGUCCUCUCUGGGAUAGUCGGGACCUAAGGCGAGGCCGAAAGGCGUAGCCGAUGGACGACGGGUGGAUAUUCCCGUACCCGAUGUGUGGCGAUGGAGUGACGGAGAAGGCUCAGGCAACCAGCUGGUGGAAUAGCUGGGGCAAGCGAGAUACCUGCGCACCAGGGAAAUCCGGUGCGCAUAAGGGGAAGGCGCGAUGCAUACGGAAAGCUGCGGCAAGUACGGAAAAGCUGAGAGCAGGCUUCCAGGAAAAGCUUCUAGCACAACACACAUCGGCCCGUACCGAAAAUGGACACACAUGGGCAAGGAGAGAAUCCUGAGGUGAGCGAGAGAACUAUAGCUAAGGAACUCUGCAAAAUGACCCCGUAACCUAGGGAGAAGGGGUGCUCCAGAAAUGGAGCCGCAGUAAAACGGCCCAAGCGACUG